AUGUACCUUAGCAAUUGCCAUCCACUUGGCUUUCUCGACGGGUCUGUGAUCUCAUCUUCCCAUACGAACUCCUCGACACCUUCUUCAUGCAGAUGUAGCCAACCAAGUAAUUCUUCGGCCGGAUCCUUAGCCGAUCCGCUCGACUCACCUUUAUGUUUCAUGCUCUCUGCCGCUCAGAGUGAUCACGCCGACUACGGUAACCCUACCACUUCCACGGAGAGCCCACCAUCAUACUUGAAGCAGUGGCAUAUCAGAUUAGAUCCAUCCAUGUACAAGAAACAAGCAUAUCAGAUUAUUUAUACACCAAUGUUUUGA
Molecule: ribosomal RNA, 315 nt
Filed under: Triticum aestivum (bread wheat)
Lineage: Eukaryota; Viridiplantae; Streptophyta; Magnoliopsida; Poales; Poaceae
Description: partial small subunit ribosomal RNA
Source: RNAcentral